UUCUCUAAUGAUAGACACAACAAGAAACCCUCAAUUCUUUCAUUUGCUUUUAGGAUUUUAUGCUCUCGACACUUUUAAGGACUAAUCUUUAAUUCUCUUCAUCACCUCAACGGGCUCUUUCAAUUUCGGGAAAAAAUAUACAUAUAGAGUGAGAAUUUCACACAUACCUAUCGUUUCCUUGAAGUUGAUUUACAAGGCAUGUAUCGAGUUUUUACAACCAGUAUGAAUGGCUCAUUUACUUUUUAUUAUUUUGAGCUAUUGGGAAGUUAUUUUUACGCAAAUAAUUAUAGAAAAAAAAUCUAUCUGAUAAUCCUUUGUAACUUUCACCUAUUAUUUUUCAAGUGCUAACAAUUCUUUUAAAAUUAAAUAGACUGUAGAAAAGCAGUGCAAUAUGUCUUCUUAUUAGUGAUGCACACCUUUAAAGAAAAUAAUACUUCUUAUUUCCUUUUUAAUAUUUGUGUCUGUAUACCAUUUAGAACUAUAUCGUGUAUCGCUAUUAUGAGACAAAUAGUCUUGUGACUAUUAAUGAUUCUCCAUGUAAUUGAGGUUAGUUAUUGUAACUACUAAGAGUUGGCUUUGUUUGUUGUUAAAAUAUUUUUGGGUAGUUUAGAAGACAGCAUUUGUGAAAAGGCUCAAGUGAAGCAAUGUCUUAUUGUCGAGUCACUCAGAAGAAGCUUACCGGAUUAUUGCGCUUCAAAUACUUUAUGAAGUCAAGGCAGUAAACCAUCUUGAUAUGUUCCUUUAUUUCAUGUUCUUUUGGUUCAUAUCUCUCAGCUUUAGUUGAAUUCUAGAACGUUGUCAAAACUGUUGAAACUACCAACAUUGAUUCAUUUAAGUUUGGUCCCUAAUUUGUCAUUUUGGUCUGAUAUUCAUGUCUCAGCACAUGUUGCUUUGUACUGAGAUAUUUUUCAGGAUCACAAGCAUCAAACCUUAAGGUACUGAUAGAUUCUACACCUCAAGGGAGAUAAAUAUUUUUGGUUAA
Molecule: long non-coding RNA, 982 nt
Organism: Nicotiana tabacum (common tobacco)
Lineage: Eukaryota; Viridiplantae; Streptophyta; Magnoliopsida; Solanales; Solanaceae
Source: RefSeq, a predicted model, not a curated record